Molecule: ribosomal RNA, 478 nt
Filed under: uncultured bacterium
Lineage: Bacteria
Description: bacterial SSU rRNA
Rfam family: Bacterial small subunit ribosomal RNA
Source: RNAcentral
CAAGUCGAACGGCAGCCAUUGUAGCAAUAUGGUGGCGAGAGUGGCGAACGGGUGAGUAACACGUAGGUGAUCUGCCUCUGGAUGGGGGAUAGCCCGUGGAAACACGGGGUAAUACCGCAUGAGGCCUUGUGGGUGAAGCCAUGAGGUGAAAGGUGCAAUUGCACCGUCUGGGGAUGAGCCUGCGGUCCAUUAGUUAGUUGGCGGGGUAACGGCCCACCAAGACGACGAUGGAUAGCCGGCCUGAGAGGGUGUACGGCCACACUGGAACUGAGACACGGUCCAGACUCCUACGGGAGGCAGCAGCUAAGAAUCUUCCGCAAUGGGGGAAACCCUGACGGAGCGACGCCGCGUGGAUGAUGAAGGCCGUAAGGUUGUAAAAUCCUUUUGUCGGUGAAGAAUAAGGGGGGGAGUGGAAAGCCCUUCUGAUGACGUUAGCCGACGAAUAAGCCCCGGCUAAUUACGUGCCAGCAGCCGCGGU